Long non-coding RNA from Pomacea canaliculata, 593 nucleotides. RefSeq lists it as uncharacterized. Lineage: Eukaryota; Metazoa; Mollusca; Gastropoda; Architaenioglossa; Ampullariidae. The transcript is spliced from 6 exons. The record is from RefSeq and is a predicted model, not a curated record.
CACAUGAGCAGACGGCCUGCGUCAUUCUGUUCUUAUUCGUAUCCUCAUCCUCGUGCUCGCCAAACCAUCCUUUGAUACGCUAACGUGAUUCUCGCGCCUGCCUCUAAUUUUGCCCAGAUAACCUUUGCUAGUCACCCAGAUGCUGCAGUGGCGAUAAAGGUGUUUUCACGCAUCAGCAUGGAACCUAUGUGAAAAGGAAUUCUUCAGGAACCCUGUCUUUCCCUAGCAUCCUCACCCUCUGACCUUAGACAACCCAGCAAGCUCUCUCCUUCCCCUUCGUACCUUACCGCCAGCGCCAGUCUGUCAGUCCAAGGGAAACAGUCCUUGUUGAUCGCUGUAUUGCUGCUUUCUUCCGUCGACCAGAUUGAAGACAGAGCCGUUAAGGUGACGCACACGUGACGUUACAUUCGCAGCUUCAGCGACAGCGGUGCACCGCGUGUCAGAGAAAGGGUUAAGUGCUGAGACUGCGGCAGACCUCUCCUCCAAACCACCCGAGUGCCAAGUCCCACACACGCCAGGAUAAGAAAGAAAGCUGUGGUUGGGAUAAUCCUUUCAACAGUCAUUUUGUUCUGUGAGUAUUAAUUUAUUUUUCC